Molecule: long non-coding RNA, 1500 nt
Organism: Peromyscus eremicus (cactus mouse)
Lineage: Eukaryota; Metazoa; Chordata; Mammalia; Rodentia; Cricetidae
Exons: 5
Source: RefSeq, a predicted model, not a curated record
GCGGCGAUUGGGUGUUUGACGUCAUACUGAGCAGAGUUGGGUUUUCCGAAGCUGAGAAGGUGGUACAACAGUGAAACUCAGUGCCACACGGAGUAGUACUCUGAAUACCACGUGGCCUCAGGAUGCGGUAGGACCUCUGGCUGCUGAACAGGGAACUAGGAGUUGCUACUUUGUGGACGAAAGCAAGCAUCGAAGUAGCCAGGAGCAGUGUACGGGAUAUUCAGAGCCGUAGAGCAGCUCACAUUUGUGUCUGGCCCAGGAUCAGCGGCUAUCGGGGGAGACAUUUAUUAAGGCUUAUCUUGAGGGCCAAUUGCUUCCUUUUUAGGAAAUGUCUACCUUUGCUCUGAAAAUUUCAGCUGAUUGGAUAAGGCUUCCUCUCAUUGUGUGGAGUAACUGGGGUGAAGACAAGAGAUGGAAAGAACAUAAAUGAGUUGGGAAUGCAAAGGAGAGCAAAAUACGGCCAGUAAGCAUUUCAGAAGACACCAGUUCUCACAGACCUCUCAUAGUACAUAAAAUGUAGAAGAAAGAUGUGAGAAGCAAAAAAGGAAAAAAAAAAGAUGGUGUAAACUAUAUUCUGAUGCAAAUUUUGUGCUAAGGAAUUGUGAACAAACAACAUGCAAACACAUGAAAACAAACAGUGGUACUCAUCUGAGAGUUUGCUUUGGAGACGGGUCCUCACAAUGUAGCCCCUCCUGGCCUUGAACUUACAGAAAUCCACCUGCCUCUGCUGCAGUUCAGCUCAUGCACCAGCGCAUCCAGCUCACCUCAGGGUUUUGGAUAACUCUUCUUUUGAAAUGCAUUUCAAGUUUUAAGAAGAAAGAAGAUUUUUUGCAAUCAGGAAUUAGCCAUGCAAGUGAACAUAUAAAUUUUUAAAAUGUGAUUCAUUCCUAGGGAGGUUUUUGUACCCCAACAGGAUUAAUGUGCAAGGACAUUUUGAUGAGCUGUUUGGAUAAAGCCUUAUCCGGGAGAACUCUUUCUCAAGCACUGAAUCCUUCCCCGAAACACGCAAAGAACAUCAAGAACACAGAGGAGUGAUAUCUUCGACACGUCAGAAUUCCAGCAGUCAGCCCCAUCAUAUUUCUGGGAGCUCUGCAAUUCAUCCAGCAAACUUCCAGGAAACCCCGGCAUCAUAUCAAACACAGAGGGAAGUCCUGGAAAUGCAGAAAAGGCCAGAACACAAGUGAAGCGCAAUCUGGUAAUUUUGGCACCUUGGUGCUCCGGUAAGGAGCCUGAAGGGGAACACCUGUAUGCAUGUACGCAUGGGCUCUGUUCACUCACUUAUAAGAAAUGUGUUGGCCGCUGAUUUAGUGAGAAGGAAUGUCGUGGGGAAAGGCGCAGAAAUAAUUUAUAGUUUAUUUUUUCCCACCUCUGGGAAAUCAUGUUUGGAAGGGACAAACUUCACCCACAGAGGCACAGUAGUGCUACACAGUAAUGAUAUUCCAAACAGUAGUUAGCAAGAGUGAAGAAAGUUGUGCUAAUUGGACUAUUCCUUGAACUCUC